RNAcentral lists this transfer RNA (67 nucleotides) under Onthophagus cf. taurinus. RNAcentral describes it as "tRNA-Leu". The record is from RNAcentral. Lineage: Eukaryota; Metazoa; Arthropoda; Insecta; Coleoptera; Scarabaeidae.
UCUAAUAUGGCAGAAUAAGUGCAAUGAAUUUAAGCUUCAUAUAUAAAGUUAAAAUCUUUUUUUAGAA